RNAcentral lists this ribosomal RNA (406 nucleotides) under Cardinium endosymbiont of Bemisia tabaci. RNAcentral's name for it is "bacterial SSU rRNA". It matches the Rfam family "Bacterial small subunit ribosomal RNA", at positions 234 to 637 of the family's 1533-position model. Lineage: Bacteria; Pseudomonadati; Bacteroidota; Cytophagia; Cytophagales; Amoebophilaceae. The record is from RNAcentral.
CGUCAUAUUAGCUACUUGGUGAGGCAAUGGCUCACCAAGGAUACGAUGGUUAGGGGCUCUUAGUGGAAGAUCCCCCCCAGAGGCAUUGAGAUACGGGCCAGACUCAUACGGGAGGCAGCAGUAGGGAAUAUUGGCCAAUGGGCGAAAGCCUGAACCAGCCAUGUCGCGUGCAGGAAGACAGCUUUUUGAGUUGUAAAAUGAUUUUGUACAGGAGCAAAACAAUCCCUGCGGGGGUUCUUGAGAGUACUGUAAGAAUAAGCACCGGCUAAUUCCGUGCCAGCAGCCGCGGUAAUACGGAAGGUGCAAGCGUUAUCCGGUUUUAUUGGGUUUAAAGGGUGCGUAGGCGGCUUAUUAAGUCAGUUGUGAAAUCCUAGUGCUUAACGCUAGAACUGCAAUUGAUACUAUU